Molecule: transfer RNA, 75 nt
Filed under: Schistocerca americana (American grasshopper)
Lineage: Eukaryota; Metazoa; Arthropoda; Insecta; Orthoptera; Acrididae
Also listed under: 2 other names
Description: tRNA-Pro
Rfam family: tRNA
About the family: Transfer RNA (tRNA) molecules are approximately 80 nucleotides in length.
Source: RNAcentral
UGCUUGGGUAGCUCAGUUGGUAGAGCACUUGCCCGCGGAAGGCAAAGGUCCCGAGUUCGAGUCUCGGCCCGGCAA